Molecule: unclassified non-coding RNA, 128 nt
Filed under: Penicillium digitatum
Lineage: Eukaryota; Fungi; Ascomycota; Eurotiomycetes; Eurotiales; Aspergillaceae
Description: sequence contains ITS1, 5.8S rRNA gene
Source: RNAcentral
CUGGGUCCACCUCCCACCCGUGUUUAUUUUACCUUGUUGCUUCGGCGGGCCCGCCUUUACUGGCCGCCGGGGGGCUCACGCUCCCGGGCCCGCGCCCGCCGAAGACACCCCCGAACUCUGUCUGAAGA